Molecule: ribosomal RNA, 495 nt
Filed under: uncultured bacterium
Lineage: Bacteria
Description: partial 16S ribosomal RNA
Rfam family: Bacterial small subunit ribosomal RNA
Source: RNAcentral
ACUCAAAGGAAUUGACGGGGGCCCGCACAAGCAGCGGAGCAUGUGGUUUAAUUCGAAGCAACGCGAAGAACCUUACCAGGACUUGACAUCCCCUGAAUUACUCGUAACUGAGGAAGCCCUCCGGGGCAGGGAGACAGGUGGUGCAUGGUUGUCGUCAGCUCGUGUCGUGAGAUGUUGGGUUAAGUCCCGCAACGAGCGCAACCCUUAUCCUUAGUUGCUAACAUUAAGUUGAGCACUCUAAAGAGACUGCCGGGGACAACUCGGAGGAAGGUGGGGAUGACGUCAAAUCAUCAUGCCCCUUAUGUUCUGGGCUACACACGUGCUACAAUGGGUAAAACAACGGGAAGCAAGCUAGUGAUAGCAAGCAAAUCCCUAAAAGUUACUCUCAGUUCGGAUUGUAGGCUGCAACUCGCCUACAUGAAGUUGGAGUUGCUAGUAAUCGCGAAUCAGAAUGUCGCGGUGAAUACGUUCCCGGGCCUUGUACACACCGCCCGU